This 253-nucleotide ribosomal RNA is filed under the name uncultured bacterium. RNAcentral's name for it is "partial 16S ribosomal RNA". It matches the Rfam family "Bacterial small subunit ribosomal RNA", at positions 524 to 776 of the family's 1533-position model. The record is from RNAcentral.
GACGUAGGGCGCGAGCGUUGUCCGGAUUCAUUGGGCGUAAAGGGUGCGUAGGCGGUAGUGCAAGUCAGGUGUGAAAUCCCGGAGCUCAACUCCGGAACUGCACUUGAUACUGCUUUACUAGAGUACUGGAGAGGAGACUGGAAUUUACGGUGUAGCAGUGAAAUGCGUAGAUAUCGUAAGGAAGACCAGUGGCGAAGGCGAGUCUCUGGACAGUUACUGACGCUGAGGCACGAAGGCCAGGGGAGCAAACGGG